This 492-nucleotide ribosomal RNA is filed under the name uncultured bacterium. Its description in RNAcentral is "partial 16S ribosomal RNA". It matches the Rfam family "Bacterial small subunit ribosomal RNA", at positions 29 to 507 of the family's 1533-position model. The record is from RNAcentral.
AUUGAACGCUGGCGGCAUGCUUUACACAUGCAAGUCGAACGGUAACAGGCCUUCGGGUGCUGACGAGUGGCGAACGGGUGAGUAAUGCAUCGGAACGUACCCAGAGGUGGGGGAUAACGCAGCGAAAGCUGUGCUAAUACCGCAUGUGAUCUGAGGAUGAAAGCGGGGGACCGAGCAGCAAUGUUUGGCCUCGCGCCUUUGGAGCGGCCGAUGUCGGAUUAGCUAGUUGGUUGGGUAAAGGCCUACCAAGGCGACGAUCCGUAGCUGGCCUGAGAGGACGACCAGCCACACUGGGACUGAGACACGGCCCAGACUCCUACGGGAGGCAGCAGUGGGGAAUUUUGGACAAUGGGCGCAAGCCUGAUCCAGCAAUGCCGCGUGCGGGAAGAAGGCCUUCGGGUUGUAAACCGCUUUUGGCAGGAACGAAACGGUGUCCGCUAAUACCGGGCGCUAAUGACGGUACCUGCAGAAUAAGCACCGGCUAACUACGUG